CUGCCAGCAGCCAGAGGGGCAGGAGCUCCUGGAGUUAGGAUGAGGAGAGAAGCCUCACAGCAGAUGCUGGGAGUGCCAGAGCUGCCCUCACUGACAUUGCUUUUGGUGUGACGGGAAAUGCCAAAUGAAGGAGUCCUUAUGGCCUACAGUCCCCAGGUGUAUUAUCCCUCUAGACAACUAAACUGAAUAGCUUUUAUAGAACUUUGAAUGAGAGGAAAGUCAAAAUUUAGCAACUCUGUGACAUCUAAGGAAUGAAGUCUCUUUGUUACAAUGAAGAAGGAUCAAGAUACCAUAUAAAUAAAA
Alligator sinensis (Chinese alligator) is the source of this 303-nucleotide long non-coding RNA. RefSeq lists it as uncharacterized. The transcript has 3 exons. The record is from RefSeq and is a predicted model, not a curated record. NCBI's taxonomy places the organism in Eukaryota, Metazoa, Chordata, Crocodylia, Alligatoridae.